GGCCUCUUAGCUUGGCUGGUAGAGCGUGAGCCGUACAAAAUUGUAGGCGGCGUCCACGCGUGGGUUCAAAUCCCACCGAGGCUA
Molecule: transfer RNA, 84 nt
Filed under: Echinostoma caproni
Lineage: Eukaryota; Metazoa; Platyhelminthes; Trematoda; Plagiorchiida; Echinostomatidae
Rfam family: tRNA
About the family: Transfer RNA (tRNA) molecules are approximately 80 nucleotides in length. Their secondary structure includes four short double-helical elements and three loops (D, anti-codon, and T loops).
Source: Rfam by way of RNAcentral